This 876-nucleotide ribosomal RNA is filed under the name Bacillus sp. (in: firmicutes). RNAcentral's name for it is "bacterial SSU rRNA". It matches the Rfam family "Bacterial small subunit ribosomal RNA", at positions 56 to 914 of the family's 1533-position model. RNAcentral also lists the same sequence under 2 other names. The record is from RNAcentral. Lineage: Bacteria; Bacillati; Bacillota; Bacilli; Caryophanales; Bacillaceae.
UGCAAGUCGAGCGGACAGAAGGGAGCUUGCUCCCGGAUGUUAGCGGCGGACGGGUGAGUAACACGUGGGUAACCUGCCUGUAAGACUGGGAUAACUCCGGGAAACCGGAGCUAAUACCGGAUAGUUCCUUGAACCGCAUGGUUCAAGGAUGAAAGACGGUUUCGGCUGUCACUUACAGAUGGACCCGCGGCGCAUUAGCUAGUUGGUGGGGUAAUGGCUCACCAAGGCGACGAUGCGUAGCCGACCUGAGAGGGUGAUCGGCCACACUGGGACUGAGACACGGCCCAGACUCCUACGGGAGGCAGCAGUAGGGAAUCUUCCGCAAUGGACGAAAGUCUGACGGAGCAACGCCGCGUGAGUGAUGAAGGUUUUCGGAUCGUAAAGCUCUGUUGUUAGGGAAGAACAAGUGCGAGAGUAACUGCUCGCACCUUGACGGUACCUAACCAGAAAGCCACGGCUAACUACGUGCCAGCAGCCGCGGUAAUACGUAGGUGGCAAGCGUUGUCCGGAAUUAUUGGGCGUAAAGGGCUCGCAGGCGGUUUCUUAAGUCUGAUGUGAAAGCCCCCGGCUCAACCGGGGAGGGUCAUUGGAAACUGGGAAACUUGAGUGCAGAAGAGGAGAGUGGAAUUCCACGUGUAGCGGUGAAAUGCGUAGAGAUGUGGAGGAACACCAGUGGCGAAGGCGACUCUCUGGUCUGUAACUGACGCUGAGGAGCGAAAGCGUGGGGAGCGAACAGGAUUAGAUACCCUGGUAGUCCACGCCGUAAACGAUGAGUGCUAAGUGUUAGGGGGUUUCCGCCCCUUAGUGCUGCAGCUAACGCAUUAAGCACUCCGCCUGGGGAGUACGGUCGCAAGACUGAAACUCAAAGGAAUUGAC